AUUGAACGCUACAUCUCGCACGCCGUCUCCAUGUCGGGAAAGAUGAUCUGACAUUUCUUCAUUAUCAGAACGAUGCCGAACGUUCGAUUAUUACGGUCUGUAUCGAGUUCCGCUUUAAAUAUCGAGCCCACGAACUUGCUAUUGGUCUACGGCGGGGGAUUGCUACGUUCUUCGUGAUCAACAGCCUGAUAAAUCACCAGCAACAGCAGGUUUUUUAAAAUUAAACAUGUCAUUAAAGCUGAGAUAGACUCAACGGCGUAUUCGAGAUGGGCUUGCCUUUCUAAUUAACACAAGAUUCCAGAAAUACGUCAUAAAAGUAUCUGUUUAAGGAAAUUUCCAUUUUACGAAAUUAAAAGAAGUGCAU
Long non-coding RNA from Acromyrmex echinatior (Panamanian leafcutter ant), 364 nucleotides. The record is from RefSeq and is a predicted model, not a curated record. NCBI's taxonomy places the organism in Eukaryota, Metazoa, Arthropoda, Insecta, Hymenoptera, Formicidae.